RNAcentral lists this ribosomal RNA (225 nucleotides) under uncultured prokaryote. Its description in RNAcentral is "partial 16S ribosomal RNA". It matches the Rfam family "Bacterial small subunit ribosomal RNA", at positions 524 to 748 of the family's 1533-position model. The record is from RNAcentral.
UACGUAGGCAGCGAGCGUUGUUCGGAAUUACUGGGCGUAAAGAGUGCGUAGGCGGUGCUCUAAGUCUGGUGUGAAAUCUCCCGGCUCAACUGGGAGGGUGCGCUAGAAACUGGAGUGCUAGAGUGUGGGAGAGGUAAGCGGAAUUCCUGGUGUAGCGGUGAAAUGCGUAGAUAUCAGGAGGAACACCUGUGGUGUAGACAGCUUACUGGACCACUUCUGACGCUG